This 467-nucleotide ribosomal RNA is filed under the name uncultured bacterium. RNAcentral's name for it is "bacterial SSU rRNA". It matches the Rfam family "Bacterial small subunit ribosomal RNA", at positions 197 to 645 of the family's 1533-position model. The record is from RNAcentral.
CGGAGGAAAGUAGGGGAUCGAAAGACCUUAUGCUUUUGGAGCGGCCGAUGUCUGAUUAGCUAGUUGGUAAGGUAAUGGCUUACCAAGGCGACGAUCAGUAGUUGGUCUGAGAGGACGACCAGCCACACUGGGACUGAGACACGGCCCAGACUCCUACGGGAGGCAGCAGUGGGGAAUUUUGGACAAUGGGCGCAAGCCUGAUCCAGCAAUGCCGCGUGAGUGAAGAAGGCCUUCGGGUUGUAAAGCUCUUUCAGUUGAAAAGAAAAAGCCGUGACUAAUAAUCAUGGUUCAUGACGGUAUCAACAGAAGAAGCACCGGCUAACUACGUGCCAGCAGCCGCGGUAAUACGUAGGGUGCAAGCGUUAAUCGGAAUUACUGGGCGUAAAGGGUGCGCAGGCGGUUCUGUAAGUCAGAUGUGAAAUCCCCGGGCUUAACCUGGGAACUGCGUUUGAAACUACAAGGCUAGA